AUUGAACGCUGGCGGCAGGCCUAACACAUGCAAGUCGAGCGGAUGAAGGGAGCUUGCUCCUGGAUUCAGCGGCGGACGGGUGAGUAAUGCCUAGGAAUCUGCCUGGUAGUGGGGGAUAACGUCCGGAAACGGGCGCUAAUACCGCAUACGACCUGAGGGAGCAAGUGGGGGGUCUUCGGACCUCACGCUAUCAGAUGAGCCUAGGUCGGAUUAGCUAGUUGGUGGGGUAAAGGCCUACCAAGGCGACGAUCCGUAACUGGUCUGAGAGGAUGAUCAGUCACACUGGAACUGAGACACGGUCCAGACUCCUACGGGAGGCAGCAGUGGGGAAUAUUGGACAAUGGGCGAAAGCCUGAUCCAGCCAUGCCGCGUGUGUGAAGAAGGUCUUCGGAUUGUAAAGCACUUUAAGUUGGGAGGAAGGGCAGUAAGUUAAUACCUUGCUGUUUUGACGGUACCGACAGAAUAAGCACCGGCUAACUUCGUG
This 484-nucleotide ribosomal RNA is filed under the name uncultured bacterium. RNAcentral describes it as "partial 16S ribosomal RNA". It matches the Rfam family "Bacterial small subunit ribosomal RNA", at positions 30 to 507 of the family's 1533-position model. The record is from RNAcentral.